UCAUUCACCUUUUCAGAAAAAACAAAGAGACCCUAUAAACAAUCAAACCAUCAUAAUUAUUUUUGUCAAAGCAUGAAGCUUCGAAUAUAGCUUUAUAAGACAACCUACAAUUAUCUAUUUCGACUUGCAUUCAAAUUUCUCCAAUACAUCAUGCACCCAUUACCCAUCAAUCCCUUUUGAAGGGCCCUACAUUCCUACCAUCCAAAAGAGAAAUAGAUACAGAGAAUUCUCAGUACUAAUAGUUAUAGCCAUUCUCCACUAACCCCACCACAGAUAUUGAAAACAGGAGGACAUCAAUGGAGCUUUUGAAUACUUUGGCUUGCCUUGACCAUAGCACAUAGCAUCAAGUGCCCGUGAUUUUUUCUUCCUUGACAUGAAAAUGACGACUCCUUUGACAAAACUUGAGAAAAGAGAAUGAACAGUUGCACCGAGUGAAUUGAUUUUUAUUUUUAUUUUUUUU
Molecule: unclassified non-coding RNA, 460 nt
Filed under: Hevea brasiliensis (rubber tree)
Lineage: Eukaryota; Viridiplantae; Streptophyta; Magnoliopsida; Malpighiales; Euphorbiaceae
Source: RNAcentral